GGUUGCUGCCGGUUCUAGUUUAGCGUUUACCGUUGAACUGCCCAGAGGCGCGAUGGCGACCAUAUACCCUACCUUCCACUACCUCACUAGUUGGAAAUCCGCAGAAAUUCUAGAGUUAAUACAUGCUUGAAGAUGUGUUUUUUAGAUACAUUGAGUUUAUUACAUAGAAACUAAUUUUGAUGUGAGAAUAUAACUGUGCGGAUCGUUUUGGAAAAAGCGAUGAAUCAAUUGGGUUUCUGCCCUAUCAGUUUUGGAUGGCUGUGUAUUGGACAGCCAUGACAUCAACGGGUAACGGGGAAUGGGGCGGGGGCGGCGGGCCGGGCGCGGGGCGCGGCGGGCGAGGGGAGCCGCCCGUUCACUCGGUAGAAAUUUUUUUCUAGAAGAUCGACCGGACUACUCCAUUUUUUUUUUUUUUUUUUAUAAUCCCCAAGUUCCCCCCCCUUCUUUGAAUUUUUUGGAACUCAAAGCGUUUCCCCCACUUUUAACCGAUAUUUAUUUUAAACGACCACCCCCGCUGGGGGGCCUCACAAUCAAUAUCCUACUUUAUAACUCACUAUAUCCCUUGAAGCCCGCACCCUCUUAAUGGAUCUAGA
Molecule: ribosomal RNA, 593 nt
Filed under: uncultured eukaryote
Lineage: Eukaryota
Description: partial 18S ribosomal RNA
Rfam family: Eukaryotic small subunit ribosomal RNA (bases 35-329)
Source: RNAcentral